CCUACGGGAGGCAGCAGUGAGGAAUAUUGGUCAAUGGGCGCGAGCCUGAACCAGCCAAGUAGCGUGAAGGAUGACUGCCCUACGGGUUGUAAACUUCUUUUAUAAAGGAAUAAAGUGAGGCACGUGUGCAUUUUUGUAUGUACUUUAUGAAUAAGGAUCGGCUAACUCCGUGCCAGCAGCCGCGGUAAUACGGAGGAUCCGAGCGUUACCCGGAUUUAUUGGGUUUAAAGGGAGCGUAGGUGGGUUGUUAAGUCAGUUGUGAAAGUUUGGGGCUCAACCGUAAAAUUGCAUUUGAUACUGGCAGCCUUGAGUACAGUUGAGGUAGGCGGAAUUCGUGGUGUAGCGGUGAAAUGCUUAGAUAUCACGAAGAACUCCGAUUGCGAAGGCAGUUUACUAAACUUCCACUGACAUUGAUGCUCGAAAGUGUGGGUAUCAAACAGGAUUAGAUACCCCGGUAGUC
RNAcentral lists this ribosomal RNA (460 nucleotides) under uncultured bacterium. RNAcentral describes it as "partial 16S ribosomal RNA". It matches the Rfam family "Bacterial small subunit ribosomal RNA", at positions 338 to 795 of the family's 1533-position model. The record is from RNAcentral.